Molecule: long non-coding RNA, 247 nt
Organism: Nematostella vectensis (starlet sea anemone)
Lineage: Eukaryota; Metazoa; Cnidaria; Anthozoa; Actiniaria; Edwardsiidae
Exons: 2
Source: RefSeq, a predicted model, not a curated record
AGAGAUGCGAGUAAACUCCAUAGAAUUGCAGCUAAGGAAAAAAGACAGUAUCACAACCAAUUAUUCACUGGUUAUAUUCUUGCAAGGAACAGAAAGGAAAGGUAAGCAAAGGUUGUAAAUAUUCUUUAAAACAUCCUGCCAGACAGAAAGAUCGUCAACCUGGGUACAAGCACUAGUAUAAUGAUAAGCAACAUGAUCACCAUCACUAUCAUCAUCAUAGAAAUAAUCAUCACCAUCACUAUCAUCA